Molecule: ribosomal RNA, 253 nt
Filed under: uncultured bacterium
Lineage: Bacteria
Description: partial 16S ribosomal RNA
Rfam family: Bacterial small subunit ribosomal RNA
Source: RNAcentral
UACGGAGGGGACUAGCGUUGUUCGGAAUUACUGGGCGUAAAGCGCACGUAGGCGGAUUUGUAAGUCAGGGGUGAAAUCCCGGGGCUCAACCUCGGAACUGCCUUUGAUACUGCAAAUCUCGAGUCCGGAAGAGGUGAGUGGAAUUCCUAGUGUAGAGGUGAAAUGCGCAGAUAUCAGGAGGAACACCGGUGGCGAAGGCGCCACUCUGGGCCGAAACUGACGCUGAGGAGCGAAAGCGUGGGGAGCAAACAGG